GGACUACUAGGGUAUCUAAUCCUGUUUGCUCCCCACGCUUUCGAGCCUCAACGUCAGUGAUCGUCCAGUAAGCCGCCUUCGCCACUGGUGUUCCUCCUAAUAUCUACGCAUUUCACCGCUACACUAGGAAUUCCGCUUACCUCUCCGACACUCUAGUUACAUAGUUUCCAAUGCAGUCCCGGGGUUGAGCCCCGGGCUUUCACAUCAGACUUACACAACCGUCUACGCUCCCUUUACACCCAGUAAAUCCGGAUAACGCUUGCACCAUACGUAUUACCGCGGCUGCUGGCACGUAUUUAGCCGGUGCUUCUUAGUCAGGUACCGUCAUUUUCUUCCCUGCUGAUAGAGCUUUACAUACCGAAAUACUUCUUCGCUCACGCGGCGUCGCUGCAUCAGGGUU
Molecule: unclassified non-coding RNA, 400 nt
Filed under: uncultured Lachnospiraceae bacterium
Lineage: Bacteria; Bacillati; Bacillota; Clostridia; Lachnospirales; Lachnospiraceae
Description: contains 16S-23S intergenic spacer region
Source: RNAcentral